GGACAAUGAUAGACAAAAUCUGGGCUUGGUAUACAGAGACAUCUGCUUGCUUAGCACCCUGGCAAACACACCAUUAAAAAUCCUUUUAACCUUUUAUUAGGUACAGAAAAGAAGGAA
Non-coding RNA from Chelonoidis abingdonii (Abingdon island giant tortoise), 117 nucleotides. Lineage: Eukaryota; Metazoa; Chordata; Testudines; Testudinidae. The record is from RefSeq and is a predicted model, not a curated record.